RNAcentral lists this ribosomal RNA (292 nucleotides) under uncultured bacterium. Its description in RNAcentral is "partial 16S ribosomal RNA". It matches the Rfam family "Bacterial small subunit ribosomal RNA", at positions 505 to 796 of the family's 1533-position model. The record is from RNAcentral.
GUGCCAGCAGCCGCGGUAAUACGGAGGAUGCAAGCGUUAUCCGGAAUUAUUGGGCGUAAAGCGUCCGCAGGUGGUUGAACAAGUCUGCUGUCAAAGCGCGGAGCUUAACUCCGUACAGGCGGUGGAAACUGUUGAACUGGAGUACGGUAGGGGUAGCGGGAAUUCCCAGUGUAGCGGUGAAAUGCGUAGAUAUUGGGAAGAACACCAGCGGCGAAAGCGCGCUACUGGGCCUGUACUGACACUGAGGGACGAAAGCUAGGGGAGCGAAAGGGAUUAGAUACCCGAGUAGUCC